Molecule: ribosomal RNA, 376 nt
Filed under: uncultured bacterium
Lineage: Bacteria
Description: bacterial SSU rRNA
Rfam family: Bacterial small subunit ribosomal RNA
Source: RNAcentral
UAAGACGAACCGUGCAAACGUUGUUCGGAAUCACUGGGCUUAAAGGGCGCGUAGGCGGACCACCAAGUCAGGGGUGAAAUCCUGCGGCUCAACCGUAGAAGUGCCUUUGAUACUGGUGGUCUCGAGGGAGGUAGGGGCGUGCGGAACUUCCGGUGGAGCGGUGAAAUGCGUAGAUAUCGGAAGGAACACCGGUGGCGAAAGCGGCGCGCUGGACCUCUUCUGACGCUGAGGCGCGAAAGCCAGGGGAGCGAACGGGAUUAGAUACCCCGGUAGUCCUGGCCCUAAACGAUGGGUACUAGGUAGUGGACUUGACAUGGGUUCACUGCCGAAGCAAAAGUGCUAAGUACCCCGCCUGGGGAGUAUGGUCGCAAGGCUG